This 463-nucleotide ribosomal RNA is filed under the name uncultured bacterium. Its description in RNAcentral is "bacterial SSU rRNA". It matches the Rfam family "Bacterial small subunit ribosomal RNA", at positions 30 to 491 of the family's 1533-position model. The record is from RNAcentral.
AUUGAACGCUGGCGGCAUGCUUUACACAUGCAAGUCGAACGGCAGCGGGGGCUUCGGCCCGCCGGCGAGUGGCGAACGGGUGAGUAAUGCAUCGGAACGUGCCCAGUCGUGGGGGAUAACACAUCGAAAGAUGUGCUAAUACCGCAUACGUCCUGAGGGAGAAAGCGGGGGAUCUUCGGACCUCGCGCGAUUGGAGCGGCCGAUGUCGGAUUAGCUAGUUGGUGGGGUAAAAGCCCACCAAGGCGACGAUCCGUAGCGGGUCUGAGAGGAUGAUCCGCCACACUGGGACUGAGACACGGCCCAGACUCCUACGGGAGGCAGCAGUGAGGAAUAUUGGUCAAUGGGCGAGAGCCUGAACCAGCCAAGUCGCGUGCAGGAAGAAUGUCCUAUGGAUUGUAAACUGCUUUUGCAGGGGAAUAAAGUGAGCCACGUGUGGUUUUUUGUAUGUACUCUGCGAAUAAGG